Oncorhynchus tshawytscha (Chinook salmon) is the source of this 1000-nucleotide long non-coding RNA. NCBI's taxonomy places the organism in Eukaryota, Metazoa, Chordata, Actinopteri, Salmoniformes, Salmonidae. The record is from Ensembl.
UACCUUCACAGAUCCUGUCUAGUCUCUGUCUCUUCACUUUGUGUUUGUCUGUCAGAGCCAUGUCUGUGCGUCUUUCUGUCUGUUGACACGAUGACUCCUCUCCUCCUCAGCCAGUGAUGGGAGGCCCUCUCCUCCUCUGCCAGUGAUGGGAGGCCCUCUCCUCCUCAGCCAGUGAUGGGAGGCCCUCUCCUCCUCUGCCAGUGAUGGGAGGCCCUCUCCUUCUCAGCCAGUGAUGGGUGGCCCUCUCCUUCUCAGCCAGUGAUGGGAGGCCCGCUCCUCCUCAGCCAGUGAUGGGUGGCCCUCCUCCUCCUCAGCCAGUGAUGGGUGGCCCUCUCCUCCUCAGCCAGUGAUGGGUGGCCCUCUCCUCCUCAGCCAGUGAUGGGUGGCCCUCUCCUCCUCAGCCAGUGAUGGGUGGCCCUCUCCUCCUCAGCCAGUGAUGGGUGGCCCUCUCCUCCUCAGCCAGUGAUGGGUGGCCCUCUCCUCCUCAGCCAGUGAUGGGUGGCCCUCUCCUUCCUCUGCCAGUGAUGGGAGGCCCUCUCCUCCUCAGCCAGUGAUGGGUGGCACCACAGACAGAAAGACAGUGAUGGGAGGCCCUGGGAAUGAUGGGGAACCCUAGCCACUGUAGCACAUGGUUAACAGUCCUCCCUGUAUCGCCUUGACACACACCUGCAACACAACACACACACACUGGGUUAAACACACUGUCUGGAAUCACAUACAACACAACACACACACACUGGGUUAAACACACUGUCUGGAAUCACAUACAACACAACACAACACACACACACUGGGUUAAACACACUGUCUGGAAACACCUACAACACAACACACACACUGGGUUAAACAAACUGUCUGGAAUCACCUACAACACAACACACACACACUGUCUUCAAACACCUACAACACAACACACACACACUGUCUUCAAACACCUGCAACACAACACACACACGCUGGGUUAAACACACUGUCUUCAAACACCUACAACACAUUUUGU